UACGUAGGGGGCUAGCGUUGUCCGGAAUCAUUGGGCGUAAAGAGCGUGUAGGCUGCUCGGUAAGUCCGCUGUAAAAGUCAAAGGCUCAACCUUUGAAUGUCAGUGGAUACUGCCGGGCUAGAGUCCGGAAGAGGCGAGUGGAACUCCUGGUGUAGCGGUGGAAUGCGCAGAUAUCAGGAAGAACACCGGUGGCGAAAGCGGCUCACUGGACCGUUACUGACGCUGAGGUGCGAAAGCUAGGGGAGCAAACGGG
This 253-nucleotide ribosomal RNA is filed under the name uncultured bacterium. RNAcentral's name for it is "partial 16S ribosomal RNA". It matches the Rfam family "Bacterial small subunit ribosomal RNA", at positions 524 to 776 of the family's 1533-position model. The record is from RNAcentral.